Molecule: ribosomal RNA, 428 nt
Filed under: uncultured bacterium
Lineage: Bacteria
Description: bacterial SSU rRNA
Rfam family: Bacterial small subunit ribosomal RNA
Source: RNAcentral
ACUCCUACGGGAGGCAGCAGUGGGGAAUAUUGCACAAUGGGCGCAAGCCUGAUGCAGCCAUGCCGCGUGUAUGAAGAAGGCCUUCGGGUUGUAAAGUACUUUCAGCAGUGAGGAAGGCGGAGUCGUUAAUAGCGGCCUCGUUUGACGUUAGCUGCAGAAGAAGCACCGGCUAACUCCGUGCCAGCAGCCGCGGUAAUACGGAGGGUGCGAGCGUUAAUCGGAAUUACUGGGCGUAAAGCGCAUGCAGGUGGUUUGUUAAGUCAGAUGUGAAAGCCCGGGGCUCAACCUCGGAAUUGCAUUUGAAACUGGCAGACUAGAGUACUGUAGAGGGGGGUAGAAUUUCAGGUGUAGCGGUGAAAUGCGUAGAGAUCUGAAGGAAUACCGGUGGCGAAGGCGGCCCCCUGGACAGAUACUGACACUCAGAUGCG